AUACGUAGGGGGCGAGCGUUGUCCGGAUUUAUUGGGCGUAAAGAGCUCGUAGGCGGCUUGGCAAGUCGGGUGUGAAACCUCCAGGCUCAACCUGGAGACGCCACUCGAUACUGCUAUGGCUAGAGUCCGGUAGGGGACCACGGAAUUCCUGGUGUAGCGGUGAAAUGCGCAGAUAUCAGGAGGAACACCGGUGGCGAAGGCGGUGGUCUGGGCCGGCACUGACGCUGAGGAGCGAAAGCGUGGGUAGCAAACAG
RNAcentral lists this ribosomal RNA (254 nucleotides) under uncultured prokaryote. RNAcentral's name for it is "partial 16S ribosomal RNA". It matches the Rfam family "Bacterial small subunit ribosomal RNA", at positions 523 to 775 of the family's 1533-position model. The record is from RNAcentral.